This 988-nucleotide long non-coding RNA is filed under the name Struthio camelus australis. RNAcentral's name for it is "lncRNA (ENSSCUG00000003585.1)". Lineage: Eukaryota; Metazoa; Chordata; Aves; Struthioniformes; Struthionidae. The record is from RNAcentral.
GGGGGCGGUGCAUCAGAGCGCAGGUGGCGCUGCGAGUUAACGUACUUGUCCUCUCAGAGGUGAUUUGAGAUAAUUUAGUAAUAAUAGCUUGGUAAUGAUGUUUUUAUAACUGGGCUGGAGAAAGUCCCUUGGUAUCAGUAGCAAGAUACGGUUGUCGCUCCUAGGCUCUGUUUCUCUGGCGUUGGCGUUCUCGUAUGCGCUCUGAAAUCUGUGACGUUCCGUCCCUGAAGUUUUUUAGGGAAGGUCUGUUCUCUAGGUAGUUUUCUGUUUGUGCUCUUCAGAAUAAAGCUGAGUUUUGAAUCAAAGCUAUAUUCUCUUCUUGCAUGAUUCUUAGUCGUUCUGAUCGUGGCUAUCCUAAAUUUGGUAUGUUAUAAUUCAGUCAUGUGUUACUUCCACAUGCCUUAUCUGUACUGUUUUAUUAGCUUAAACUAGUAAAUACGAGUAGCUUUAUCUGUUACUGUGAGAGCCUGGUUUCUCUGAACUAGCUUCCUGGAAAUCUCUUGUUUCCCAGCUCAGGUCUGAUGAUAAACAAGGUCUUCCACGUCAUGGGGACUCCCCAGUGCAGUCUGCACACCUAAAUAUGCCUGCUCCGAGUAAGGAGACUUCCCUCUUUAAGGUGAAAAGUCAUCUCGCACCAGACAAGCCUGGGUCUAUAUUGCUGCAGAAUUUGGGACUGCACAUGACAUUGCUGCAGUAGGCCAAGGGGGCAAGACAUAAAAAUGGAAGAAACUCGGUCUCUGUCCAGGAACCUGUAGUGAUUUUCACAUUAAAAUGUGAAGUGCAAAAGCUCUGUUUUCCUGUUAUGUUACUAAGAUGCUCUUUUUCCUUGUCAGUCACCCUUUAGUGAUAGUGGCUUCCUCUUGGUAGUUUGUACUGGAUGCAGCAUGGGAAGGAGUCUGAGCAGGGGCAGAAACAUCGAAGUGACAGGGAUGUGAACAUGAACUUUCCCAGUCGUCGCUUCCCUCUGCCCAAAAACUUAACUCUAAAC